This 510-nucleotide long non-coding RNA is filed under the name Monodelphis domestica (gray short-tailed opossum). RNAcentral describes it as "lncRNA (ENSMODG00000041651.1)". Lineage: Eukaryota; Metazoa; Chordata; Mammalia; Didelphimorphia; Didelphidae. The record is from RNAcentral.
CCAUGCUGCUAAAGACACCAAAGACCACAUCAUUGGGCCUUAGAGAGAGAGGAAGCUGGCUCAGAUAACCUGUUACUUCUUUUUCCAACUUCAAUUCCCAUGGCUCACAUAAUCACCAUAGGGAGCCAAGACAAUGAGUGGAACCAUGCCUUGGAUUGGGCCAAGAUAAACUGGGCCAAUGACCUGGUUAUUCUAAAUUGCUUGGCUCCAGGCCCCCACCUCAGAGAACAGACUGACUUUUUGUGGUCAUGAACUAUGGACCCUCCCUCCCAACUGCUGACUUGAAUCUAAUCAGAACACAGACUGAAUUCUACUACCCAGCCAGGCCUCUCAAAAUCAAAUCCAGAGACGUAGAAGCAUCUUAUAACAUGGCUUACCUAAUGCCAGUGGUGAGAUGGAAUUAUUCCUCUCAGAGACCAAAGGAAGAAAAAGAUAAGCAUGUCGAAUAGCCUACAUUGGAUUGGAGAGCAAUUGGAGAGCUGAGUAGAAACUGAGACUUGUGAACUCCAU